UAAUAUUACUAUGACUUCUUGUCUGUUAUACUCCUAUAUAUGGGAUGAAUUGAAAAAAUAUGAAGUGAAGUCUAUUUAAAAACAUUAUUCUAGACUUCCAGAUAAAGAUGGGCAGUGAAGGCAGACCACAAAAAUCUUCCUCCCCAAAUACCUUACAAAACGGUAAAAGUUAACAGUAAAAACUCCUUUAUAAACAUUACUGAAGCAGCCAGAAAAUGUCCACAACCUAAGCCAAAAGAGGCCAAAAUAAUACUAUUAUUUCAAACUAAAUAAAUUUGGAACAGCAAGAAAUGAAAUAGACAUGGCUAGAAAUCAAAUUCUCACCAAAAGGAAAGACUGGCAAUCCCAGCACAUUCCCCUAGUCAAUUCAUUCUUCUUUUCUUUGAGAUGAUUAUGCCUCAUCUCUUCUCUCCUAAAUCUCCCACGUCUCCCAGCGCCUCACUUCAAACUCUUGUUUUAUGGAUAAAUAGAAACUGUCACAAGAGAAACUCAUCUUUCCGACACCCUGUCUACUGACCUGCCUUCAUCUGUACUCAUAUAGACUCUUCCUUUAUAAAGGAUCAGCGAUCCCUGCUCUUAGCUGAGGCAAGCCCCUCUAUUUGUGCCCUGAUCCCAUCUUUUCUUGUAGAGUCAAGGAUUGCAUUCUUGAUUGGUUCCUGGAAGUGGAACUACUGUGUCAAAG
This is a non-coding RNA of Ceratotherium simum simum (southern white rhinoceros), 682 nucleotides long. The record is from RefSeq and is a predicted model, not a curated record. Lineage: Eukaryota; Metazoa; Chordata; Mammalia; Perissodactyla; Rhinocerotidae.